RNAcentral lists this microRNA precursor (135 nucleotides) under Picea abies (Norway spruce). Its description in RNAcentral is "miR11487c stem-loop (pab-MIR11487c)". The record is from miRBase by way of RNAcentral. Lineage: Eukaryota; Viridiplantae; Streptophyta; Pinopsida; Pinales; Pinaceae.
CAGCGCAGGAGAAGAGGAGGCACACUGAGAAGGCGAUCAACAUGACAAGGAUUCAUUGCUGCUGCGGCUGAAUGAUUUUGUGGUCAUAUUGAUCGCCUUUUCAGUCUGCCUCUUGUCCCCGUCAAUCCUGAUCUG